ACUUUCAACAACGGAUCUCUUGGCUUUCGCAUCGAUGAAGAACGCCGCGAAAGUGCGAAACGUAAUGUGAAUUGCAGAAUUCAGUGAAUCAUCGAAUCUUUGAACGCAUCUUGCGCUCCUUGGUAUUCCRRGGAGCAUGCCUGU
RNAcentral lists this ribosomal RNA (144 nucleotides) under Ramaria sp. 12 AK-2012. Its description in RNAcentral is "5.8S ribosomal RNA". It matches the Rfam family "5.8S ribosomal RNA". Rfam says of the family: 5.8S ribosomal RNA (5.8S rRNA) is a component of the large subunit of the eukaryotic ribosome. Lineage: Eukaryota; Fungi; Basidiomycota; Agaricomycetes; Gomphales; Gomphaceae. The record is from RNAcentral.